UAAGGAAUAUUGCGCAAUGGGCAAAAGCCUGACGCAGCGACGCCGCGUGGGGGAUGAAGGUCUUCGGAUUGUAAACCCCUUUCGGGAGGGAAGAUGGAAUGGGGUAACCCAUUCGGACGGUACCUCCAGAAGCAGCCACGGCUAACUUCGUGCCAGCAGCCGCGGUAAUACGAAGGUGGCAAGCGUUAUUCGGAUUUACUGGGCGUACAGGGAGCGUAGGCGGUUCGGUAAGCCCUCUGUGAAAUCUUCAGGCUUAACCUGGAAAAGUCGGGGGGGACUGCCGGGCUAGAGGACGGGAGAGGAGCGCGGAAUUCCCGGUGUAGCGGUGAAAUGCGUAAAGAUCGGGAGGAAGGCCGGUGGCGAAGGCGGCGCUCUGGAACGUUUCUGACGCUGAGGCUCGAAAGCGUGGGGAGCAAACAGGAUUAGAUACCCUGGUAGUCCACGCCUUAAACUAUGAAUACUAAGUGUCGGCGGGUUACCGCCGGUGCCGCAGCUAACGCAUUAAGUAUUCCGCCUGGGAAGUACGGCCGCAAGGUUG
RNAcentral lists this ribosomal RNA (538 nucleotides) under uncultured bacterium. RNAcentral describes it as "bacterial SSU rRNA". It matches the Rfam family "Bacterial small subunit ribosomal RNA", at positions 355 to 896 of the family's 1533-position model. The record is from RNAcentral.